Oncorhynchus nerka (sockeye salmon) is the source of this 281-nucleotide long non-coding RNA. RefSeq lists it as uncharacterized. The transcript has 3 exons. Lineage: Eukaryota; Metazoa; Chordata; Actinopteri; Salmoniformes; Salmonidae. The record is from RefSeq and is a predicted model, not a curated record.
CCCCUUCGACCUGCCCAAAGACGCUGCCAAGGAGGCGAGCGGCAGCUUGGAGGAGUGGGAGCGCCUGAUGAGGACGAUGGGUUCGGGGGUCUCUGCCACGGACAACCCCUUCACUGAAGUCAUGGGGCUCGUGACACGCAUGUACAAACAGACCGCCAUCGCUAAGGCCGGAGCAGUGAAAGACUACAUAAAGAUGCUGCUGGAGACUGAGAAGUUAAAGUUCCUGGUGUUCGCUCAUCACCUGACCAUGCUACAGGCAUGUACCGAGGCUGUCAUCGAAG